CUUUUGAUAAUUAAAUACAUUUCUUUGCCUCAAUUUAGAUUCUUUUACCUAAUCUUUCAAUUCCAUUUAAUUAAGCUUUUGAAACCCAUCUCUCUCUCUGCCUUAUAUAUUUUGCCCUUUCUCCUUCAAAUUCCCUCAGCAUUCCUCCCACUUUCCUCAAACUCCCUUUUUAAGGCUAUUUUACAAGUGAAAGGAUGAGUCGAAGAAAUGGUCCCAAGCUUGAGUUGAAGCUGAACCUAUCACCACCGAGGCCUAAUCCACGAGUGGAAUCACCAAGGCGAGCGGCGACGCUGUCCCCGACAUCUCCUCCGAGCUCAUGUGUGUCGUCGGAGAUGAACAACGACGUAGACAUGACUGAUGCCAUCGGAUAUUCGAACAGCCCCGAGGCGACGUCGUCGUCAGCAAUGGUACUCGUAGGUUGCCCGAGGUGCCUUAUGUACGUGAUGCUUUCCAAGAAUGACCCGAAAUGCCCCCAAUGCAAAAGCACCGUUUUGCUAGAUUUCCUCCAUGAUACUGCAACCACAACUACCAAUGCUGAGACAAGAAAGCGUUAGAUUUGGAAUCCCUUUUAAUGUUGGUCUAUUAGGAUUUUUAAUUUUGUUCUUUUGUUUUUUCUCAGAUAUCGCCAUUUGUGCUCCAGUUUUCCUUCCUUUCUUUUUUUUCUUCUUAAUGAACUAGUGACCAAACACUAGUAAUUAAGAAAAGGGAGAGCACGAAUAGCAGUUUGUUUUUCUUUUUUUCAUGUUUCAUUAGGGUUCUUAAUCAUAGAACAUAGAAUAUGGUCGUUUAUGGUAGUUGGUGUCUCUGAUUUGGUCUGGUUUUGAGGUUUUUUCUUUCUGUAGCGGAUGACUAUGUGAACUGGUUCAAUUUCAACUGCCCAACUUUUCUUAUAAAAAGACUUAUUGAAUAUUGUUUACUUUCAA
This is a long non-coding RNA of Gossypium raimondii (Peruvian cotton), 923 nucleotides long. RefSeq lists it as uncharacterized. The record is from RefSeq and is a predicted model, not a curated record. The transcript is spliced from 2 exons. NCBI's taxonomy places the organism in Eukaryota, Viridiplantae, Streptophyta, Magnoliopsida, Malvales, Malvaceae.